GCCGAAGUGGUGGAAUUGGCAGACGCGAUGGAUUCAAAAUCCAUUAUCCUCACGGAUGUGUGGGUUCGAGUCCCACCUUCGGCACCA
RNAcentral lists this transfer RNA (87 nucleotides) under Halanaerobium congolense. Its description in RNAcentral is "tRNA_Leu_CAA". It matches the Rfam family "tRNA". From Rfam's summary of the family: Transfer RNA (tRNA) molecules are approximately 80 nucleotides in length. Lineage: Bacteria; Bacillati; Bacillota; Clostridia; Halanaerobiales; Halanaerobiaceae. The record is from RNAcentral.